CCUACGGGUGGCAGCAGUGGGGAAUAUUGCACAAUGGGCGAAAGCCUGAUGCAGCAACGCCGCGUGAAGGAUGAAGGUCCUUGGAUUGUAAACUUCUGUCCAUAGGGAAGAAACAAAUGACGGUACCUAUGGAGGAAGCCCCGGCUAACUACGUGCCAGCAGCCGCGGUAAUACGUAGGGGGCAAGCGUUAUCCGGAAUUAUUGGGCGUAAAGCGUGCGUAGGCGGCUUUUUAAGCGUGGGGUUUAAGGCUAUGGCUCAACCAUAGUAUGCCCUGCGAACUGGAAGGCUUGAGUACAGGAGAGGAAAGCGGAAUUCCUAGUGUAGCGGUGAAAUGCGUAGAUAUUAGGAGGAACACCAGUGGCGAAGGCGGCUUUCUGGACUGAAACUGACGCUGAGGUACGAAAGCGUGGGGAGCAAACAGGAUUAGAUACCCUUGUAGUC
Molecule: ribosomal RNA, 442 nt
Filed under: uncultured Eubacteriales bacterium
Lineage: Bacteria; Bacillati; Bacillota; Clostridia; Eubacteriales
Description: bacterial SSU rRNA
Rfam family: Bacterial small subunit ribosomal RNA
Source: RNAcentral